AGAGUUUGAUCCUGGCUCAGGACGAACGCUGGCGGCGUGCCUAAUACAUGCAAGUCGAACGCUUCUUUUUCCACCGGAGCUUGCUCCACCGGAAAAAGAAGAGUGGCGAACGGGUGAGUAACACGUGGGUAACCUGCCCAUCAGAAGGGGAUAACACUUGGAAACAGGUGCUAAUACCGUAUAACAAUCAAAACCGCAUGGUUUUGAUUUGAAAGGCGCUUUCGGGUGUCGCUGAUGGAUGGACCCGCGGUGCAUUAGCUAGUUGGUGAGGUAACGGCUCACCAAGGCCACGAUGCAUAGCCGACCUGAGAGGGUGAUCGGCCACAUUGGGACUGAGACACGGCCCAAACUCCUACGGGAGGCAGCAGUAGGGAAUCUUCGGCAAUGGACGAAAGUCUGACCGAGCAACGCCGCGUGAGUGAAGAAGGUUUUCGGAUCGUAAAACUCUGUUGUUAGAGAAGAACAAGGAUGAGAGUAACUGUUCAUCCCUUGACGGUAUCUAACCAGAAAGCCACGGCUAACUACGUGCCAGCAGCCGCGGUAAUACGUAGGUGGCAAGCGUUGUCCGGAUUUAUUGGGCGUAAAGCGAGCGCAGGUGGUUUCUUAAGUCUGAUGUGAAAGCCCCCGGCUCAACCGGGGAGGGUCAUUGGAAACUGGGAGACUUGAGUGCAGAAGAGGAGAGUGGAAUUCCAUGUGUAGCGGUGAAAUGCGUAGAUAUAUGGAGGAACACCAGUGGCGAAGGCGGCUCUCUGGUCUGUAACUGACGCUGAGGCUCGAAAGCGUGGGGAGCAAACAGGAUUAGAUACCCUGGUAGUCCACGCCGUAAACGAUGAGUGCUAAGUGGUGGAGGGUUUCCGCCCUUCAGUGCUGCAGCUAACGCAUUAAGCACUCCGCCUGGGGAGUACGACCGCAAGGUUGAAACUCAAAGGAAUUGACGGGGGCCCGCACAA
Molecule: ribosomal RNA, 950 nt
Filed under: Enterococcus faecium
Lineage: Bacteria; Bacillati; Bacillota; Bacilli; Lactobacillales; Enterococcaceae
Description: bacterial SSU rRNA
Rfam family: Bacterial small subunit ribosomal RNA
Source: RNAcentral